AUUGAACGCUGGCGGCAGGCCUAACACAUGCAAGUCGAGCGGAUGAAGGGAGCUUGCUCCUGGCUUCAGCGGCGGACGGGUGAGUAAUGCCUAGGAAUCUGCCUGGUAGUGGGGGAUAACGUCCGAAAACGGGCGCUAAUACCGCAUACGUCCUGAGGGAGAAAGUGGGGGAUCUUCGGACCUCACGCUAUCAGCUGAGCCUAGGUCGGAUUAGCUAGUUGGUUGGGUAAAGGCCUACCAAGGCGACGAUCCGUAACUGGUCUGAGAGGAUGAUCAGUCACACUGGAACUGAGACACGGUCCAGACUCCUACGGGAGGCAGCAGUGGGGAAUCUUGGACAAUGGGCGAAAGCCUGAUCCAGCAAUGCCGCGUGUGUGAAGAAGGUCUUCGGAUUGUAAAGCACUUUAAGUUGGGAGGAAGGGCAGUAAGUUAAUACCUUGCUGUUUUGACGUUACCAACAGAAUAAGCACCGGCUAACUUCGUG
RNAcentral lists this ribosomal RNA (484 nucleotides) under uncultured bacterium. Its description in RNAcentral is "partial 16S ribosomal RNA". It matches the Rfam family "Bacterial small subunit ribosomal RNA", at positions 30 to 507 of the family's 1533-position model. The record is from RNAcentral.